UGUUUUGUCUUUACUCUUUACCAUUCUUUAUUUGUAAAUUUUUUUGUAUACAUAUAUACUAACUAGAGCUAGGAAACACAUCUUCGUACACAAAAAUUAAAAUAGAUUCAAUUUUAAGUUUUCUAGCCAUUGUGUUAAAGUAGCAAACGAUUAGCACGUACAAAUUUUCUUAAGUUAAUUCUAAUCCCUUGCAAAAAAAAAAA
RNAcentral lists this long non-coding RNA (203 nucleotides) under Capsella rubella. RNAcentral's name for it is "long non-coding RNA (CRUB_LNC003726)". Lineage: Eukaryota; Viridiplantae; Streptophyta; Magnoliopsida; Brassicales; Brassicaceae. The record is from RNAcentral.